RNAcentral lists this small RNA (754 nucleotides) under Pan troglodytes (chimpanzee). Its description in RNAcentral is "processed transcript". Lineage: Eukaryota; Metazoa; Chordata; Mammalia; Primates; Hominidae. The record is from RNAcentral.
GAUAACCAGGCCUGGGCUUCCUGGUGUGGCUUGCUCCCAUCCUGGGGCAUGCCUAUGUCGCUCUAGGGAGGCACAGGAGAGUUUGGAAAGCAGGUCUCCUGUCAUGUACUUGUUAGAGUUAGCAGAGAUGCUAAGUCAUUGGUGCCCUUCUUUAAGAAAAGAAUAAGAAAGAAGACACAGGCUAGAAGGAAGGAGAGCCUGUAGCCUGAUCUUACUCUCUCAGUCAACACCUGAGCAUUAAGUGACCAGCUGGAGGUUGUCAGCUGGCUAGUGGCAGAGUCCCAACCCCCAGCUCCCAGAAGUGGACUCUGUACCCCCAACCCACUGUGGGUUGAGAGGCUCCCAGCCCGGUGCCCGCCAGGCCACUCCCUAUAUGUGGAAUGGCCUUGGUUCCCUCCAGCAGACAAGUCCCUCAUCCCUGUUUUACGGGCCUUUCACCGUGUCCCUCCAGACCAGACACAGCCAGCCUCUGCCCACGUGCUCUCUCCUCCUUCCUGUGGGUCCCACCUGGCAGCAACGCAGGAAGGUCCAGGAUUGGCUGGUUUCCAUUUCAUAGCAGCCUCUCCCCACCUACCAUACCAACUUCUCCCAGGAAGAAAUGGGGCACAGUACAGUCACAGAAAUAAGAGGCCACAUGCGAGCGAGGGUUUGCAGCAAUGGAAGAAACGCACCAGAAGAAGAUUGAAGAUCUCCAGAGGCAGCACCAGCGGGAGCUAGAGAAACUUCGAGAAGAGAAAGACCGCCUCCUAGCCGA